Prosopis cineraria is the source of this 108-nucleotide small nuclear RNA. The record is from RefSeq and is a predicted model, not a curated record. Lineage: Eukaryota; Viridiplantae; Streptophyta; Magnoliopsida; Fabales; Fabaceae.
UGUGUCCCUUUGAAAAAAUUCCAAUAAAAGUGGAACGAUGCAGGGAAGAUAAACAUAACUCCUACACGAAGAUGACAUGCAUAUAUAAAAAAAAUGGUCCAAAUUUUC